Non-coding RNA from Agrilus planipennis (emerald ash borer), 46 nucleotides. NCBI's taxonomy places the organism in Eukaryota, Metazoa, Arthropoda, Insecta, Coleoptera, Buprestidae. The record is from Rfam.
AUACAGGAUUUUCUAAAAUCCAUUGGUAAAAUAUUUUGAAUUUUAU